RNAcentral lists this ribosomal RNA (1689 nucleotides) under Triticum aestivum (bread wheat). RNAcentral describes it as "partial small subunit ribosomal RNA". The record is from RNAcentral. Lineage: Eukaryota; Viridiplantae; Streptophyta; Magnoliopsida; Poales; Poaceae.
AUGUCCGGAGCGGGAGGCAAAUGGCUGGCCUCCACCGUUACGAAGGAGCACAUCGCAAAACUGCGCAGCGCCGGAUACCUUUCCGGCGACAUCGCGCACCGGCUGCCCGACAAGGGGCAGCUCAUCCCUACCCCUAGGCCCCAUGAGAGGGUCGUAUUCCUUCCCCACUUCCUCCAUGGAUUGGGCUUCCCAUUGCAUCCCUUUGUCCGGGGGCUCAUGUACUAUUACGGCCUGGAUUUCCACGAUCUGGCGCCAAACUUCAUCCUCAGCAUCUCGGCGUUUAUCGUCGUGUGCGAGGCCUUCCUCUGCAUCCAGCCCCACUUUGGCUUGUGGCUCAAGACCUUCAAUGUCAAGCCGAAGGUGGUGAAGGGCACUCAAGCAGAGUGCGGAGGCGCCAUGUUGGGCAAGAUGCCCAACGUCAUCUGGCUCGAAGGGGCCUUCAUGGAGUCCGUCAAGGGGUGGCAAUCGGGGUGGUUCUAUAUCACCGAGCCGCGCGACCCUACGUGGGCGGCGGCCCCCGAGUUCAGAUCUGGUAUCCCUACGCAGCUCACCUCCUGGAAAGAGAAGGGCUUGCUAUGGGGUGAUUCGGAGGAGCUGACGGGACUCCAAGCCUGUAUCCAGAAGCUGGUGAGCAAGAAGCUCAGGCUUGCCAAUGUGGUCCAAGUCAUGCUCGUCCGCCGGAUUCUCCCGUGCCAAGAACGGGCAUUUAAAUUGUGGGAGUUCAAUCCAACACAGCACCAGGCAUUGAGCGGGCUCUUCGACACAACGUAUGAAGGCGCCUGGAGGGUGCUGUUCAAGGGCGCCGAAGCUCCCGCAUCCGCCACCGAAGAUCGCGGAUUUUGCUCGCAGCGUCCAGCUGACGAGGACUGGAUGAAGAAGGUCGAGCAGAUUGUCUGCCCGGCUCCCAUGCCAGAAAACCCAGUAGAUGCCCGUCUAGCGGGGCUGCUGGUUCAGGUACCGCACGUGGUGCCGGAGAAGAAGGCCAAGAAGGUGGCCACGGGUACUCGAAAGAGUUCCCGUUUUCAGGUGUCCGAUGGCUCAGAGGUGGACUCCUCCCCCGAAGACGACGAGGAGGAAGAGGACUCUCUCCUAGAGGAAGGAGAGAGGAAGAGGAAGGCUUCCCCAAUAGGGGAGGCUGAAGGGUCCAAGAGGGGAAGGACUAUUCCCCCGGACAGCUCCGCCAACGCCAACGUUGGCGACGAAGAGUGGCCCUCAAGGGCCAGGUCUCCGGCGAGAUCUCCGGCCGAUGAUGAUCUCCCCGCUUCAUCGAGCGGGUCGUUGGCUCCGUCGGAUGUAGAUUCCAUCCCGACUGCCUCCACCCCUCGCGACGCUGAGGAUGCCGAGGUGGGAUCCCGGGAAGGGACCCAUCAGGAGGAGGCUCCGGAGGCACCAGAGGGCAGCCUCCCAGACUUUGCGCCGGACUCCACGCCGGAACCAGCAGUGGUUCCGGAGUCCGGCAGGCGGCCCCUUCGUAAGAAGGGCAAGACCAUGACGCUGGCGGCCCCCGUCCAACCGGAGGCGCCGGACAAUUUGUUGGAGGCGCUCAAGGGCGCUUCCAUCAAGGAAGAAGACCGCACUAUUAUGAGUGUGGUGAUUCAGAAGGUUCAGCUCGCCAAGAGCGGGCUGACCGAAGCCUGCAGUAGCCUUCUAACAGGCUUUGAGGUAAGAAGUUUAAAAUAUGUAAUGUAA